UGCCAGCAGCCGCGGUAAUACGAAGGGAGCUAGCGUUGUUCGGAAUUACUGGGCGUAAAGCGCGCGUAGGCGGAUUGAUCAGUCAGGGGUGAAAUCCCGGGGCUUAACCCCGGAACUGCCUUUGAUACUGUCAAUCUAGAGUUCGAGAGAGGUGAGUGGAAUUCCGAGUGUAGAGGUGAAAUUCGUAGAUAUUCGGAGGAACACCAGUGGCGAAGGCGGCUCACUGGCUCGAUACUGACGCUGAGGUGCGAAAGUGUGGGGAGCAAACAGGAUUAGAUA
Molecule: ribosomal RNA, 279 nt
Filed under: uncultured bacterium
Lineage: Bacteria
Description: partial 16S ribosomal RNA
Rfam family: Bacterial small subunit ribosomal RNA
Source: RNAcentral